AGCCACUGCCCACCGCACACUGCGCUGCUCCGGACCCACUGUGCGUGUGACAGCGGCUGA
This is a microRNA precursor of Equus asinus (donkey), 60 nucleotides long. The record is from Ensembl. Lineage: Eukaryota; Metazoa; Chordata; Mammalia; Perissodactyla; Equidae.